GUGGGGAAUAUUGCGCAAUGGGCGAAAGCCUGACGCAGCGACGCCGCGUGAGGGAUGAAGGUUUUCGGAUCGUAAACCUCUGUCAGAAGGGAAGAAACUACGUUGUGCUAAUCAGCAGCGUACUGACGGUACCUUCAAAGGAAGCACCGGCUAACUCCGUGCCAGCAGCCGCGUUAAUACGGAGGGUGCAAGCGUUAAUCGGAAUUACUGGGCGUAAAGCGCACGUAGGCUGUAGUGUAAGUCAGGGGUGAAAUCCCACGGCUCAACCGUGGAACUGCCUUUGAUACUGCACAACUUGAAUCCGGGAGAGGGUGGCGGAAUUCCAGGUGUAGGAGUGAAAUCCGUAGAUAUCUGGAGGAACAUCAGUGGCGAAGGCGGCCACCUGGACCGGUAUUGACGCUGAGGUGCGAAAGCGUGGGGAGCAAACAGGAUUAGAUACCCCUGUAGUCC
This 450-nucleotide ribosomal RNA is filed under the name uncultured bacterium. RNAcentral's name for it is "partial 16S ribosomal RNA". It matches the Rfam family "Bacterial small subunit ribosomal RNA", at positions 354 to 796 of the family's 1533-position model. The record is from RNAcentral.